Molecule: transfer RNA, 92 nt
Filed under: Oscillospiraceae bacterium
Lineage: Bacteria; Bacillati; Bacillota; Clostridia; Eubacteriales; Oscillospiraceae
Description: tRNA-Ser
Rfam family: tRNA
About the family: Transfer RNA (tRNA) molecules are approximately 80 nucleotides in length.
Source: RNAcentral
GGAGGAGUACUCAAGCUGGUCGAAGAGUCGUGACUCGAAAUCUCGUAGGGCGUGAAAGCGUCGCAAGGGUUCGAAUCCCUUCUCCUCCGCCA